UCAUCCCCUCCCCCUGUUCAGUUAUUAUAAGUCUGCUACUGGUUUAUUUCAGAAUCCCUGCCAAAUGGCAAGAUUGGGGUUUCCUGCUGGCUUCAUUGUUAUUAGGAAGUCAUUAUUUUCCCCUUACAAUUCUCAAGAAAAUGAGGAUCAGGACCCAUUUUCAUUGUUCUUGAAUCACUCUCAGUGGUGUAUUAAAUGAAACUUGGCUCCCUUUCCAACAUGUAUCUUUUUUUUAAUAGAAUCAGAGAUGUAAGGGAUGUGGGAGAUCAGAAGUCCACCCUCCCCCCUGCCACUUUACAGAUGAGAACACAGAGGCAUCAAAAGAUCAAGUGACUUACCCAGAGUUACACAGAGGAAAGAAAGCAACAAAUAGAAAUACUUAACUUUAUAAGUUGGAAAGAGGAGAAAAAAAGAAGAAGAUGCCUUCCACUGUCUGUAAAACAGGAAAUUCUGAGGCAUCUGUCUACUCAAAUGGAAGGAUAACUGUAAAUAAAAACAAAUGUCAUCCUGUUAUCUUCAUCAUCCUCAUGCAAUUCAGUUAUUUUCAGAAGACAACUUAAAAAAGAAAACAGCAAUGGAAGAAGUUAAUUGAACUCUCAUGAAUUUUAAGGAACAAGACUGCUCCCAGAUUGAUGAUCUCAAAACAUCUCUCUCCACUUCUUACUAAAGAUGAGUUAACUAUGGAUGAAAAAUGUGGUAUAUACGUUGUCAGACGUUAUUUUACUAGAAUAGUCUCAGUGAAGAGGCAGAAGAGAAUGGUUAUAUAAGUAAAAAUUACUAUGAUAUGAAAAGGAAAAGAGUUUUAAAAAUUAAAAAUCCAGUGGAACCAUUUACUUAAAAUAAGAGGAGGUAAGUAAUGUAGCAACAUUCAAAAUU
RNAcentral lists this long non-coding RNA (876 nucleotides) under Monodelphis domestica (gray short-tailed opossum). Its description in RNAcentral is "lncRNA (ENSMODG00000036874.1)". Lineage: Eukaryota; Metazoa; Chordata; Mammalia; Didelphimorphia; Didelphidae. The record is from RNAcentral.